RNAcentral lists this ribosomal RNA (497 nucleotides) under uncultured bacterium. Its description in RNAcentral is "partial 16S ribosomal RNA". It matches the Rfam family "Bacterial small subunit ribosomal RNA", at positions 28 to 507 of the family's 1533-position model. The record is from RNAcentral.
GAUGAACGCUGGCGGCGUGCCUAAUACAUGCAAGUCGAGCGAACGGACGAGAAGCUUGCUUCUCUGAUGUUAGCGGCGGACGGGUGAGUAACACGUGGAUAACCUACCUAUAAGACUGGGAUAACUUCGGGAAACCGGAGCUAAUACCGGAUAAUAUUUUGAACCGCAUGGUUCAAAAGUGAAAGACGGUCUUGCUGUCACUUAUAGAUGGAUCCGCGCUCCAUUAGCUAGUUGGUAAGGUAACGGCUUAGCAAGGCAACGAUGCAUAGCCGACCUGAGAGGGUGAUCGGCCACACUGGAACUGAGAAACGGUCCAGACUCCGACGGGAGGCAGCAGUAGGGAAUCUUCCGCAAUGGGCGAAAGCCUGACGGAGCAACGCCGCGUGAGUGAUGAAGGUCUUCGGAUCGUAAAACUCUGUUAUUAGGGAAGAACAUAUGUGUAAGUAACUGUGCACAUCUUGACGGUACCUAAUCAGAAAGCCACGGCUAACUACGUG